GGCUAUAUCACACUGAAACACCAGUUCUUGUACGAUCACUGAAGUUAAGCAAAGUUAAACAUGGUCAAUACUUAGAUGGGUGACUGUUUGGGAAUACCAAGUGCUGUAAG
This is a non-coding RNA of Acanthosepion pharaonis, 110 nucleotides long. The record is from the annotation of a GenBank genome assembly. NCBI's taxonomy places the organism in Eukaryota, Metazoa, Mollusca, Cephalopoda, Sepiida, Sepiidae.